This 407-nucleotide ribosomal RNA is filed under the name uncultured bacterium. RNAcentral describes it as "partial 16S ribosomal RNA". It matches the Rfam family "Bacterial small subunit ribosomal RNA", at positions 355 to 774 of the family's 1533-position model. The record is from RNAcentral.
UGGGGAAUAUUGCACAAUGGGCGGAAGCCUGAUGCAGCAACGCCGCGUGCGGGAUGACGGCCUUCGGGUUGUAAACCGCUUUCGCCUGUGACGAAGCGUGAGUGACGGUAAUGGGUAAAGAAGCACCGGCUAACUACGUGCCAGCAGCCGCGGUGAUACGUAGGGUGCGAGCGUUGUCCGGAUUUAUUGGGCGUAAAGGGCUCGUAGGUGGUUGAUCGCGUCGGAAGUGUAAUCUUGGGGCUUAACCCUGAGCGUGCUUUCGAUACGGGUGGACUUGAGGAAGGUAGGGGAGAAUGGAAUUCCUGGUGGAGCGGUGGAAUGCGCAGAUAUCAGGAGGAACACCAGUGGCGAAGGCGGUUCUCUGGGCCUUUCCUGACGCUGAGGAGCGAAAGCGUGGGGAGCGAACA